Long non-coding RNA from Microplitis mediator, 2133 nucleotides. RefSeq lists it as uncharacterized. The record is from RefSeq and is a predicted model, not a curated record. Lineage: Eukaryota; Metazoa; Arthropoda; Insecta; Hymenoptera; Braconidae. The transcript has 5 exons.
UGUUAUUUAAAAAAAAAACCUAAAACUUCAAUUGAUAAUUUUUUUUUUAUGCGAAAAAUACAUACAUUUUCAUGACGACAAAUGCAUUUUGGCAAGGACAUCCGAUGCCUAUAAAACUACCUAACAAAGUCUACGAUGGUUACUCGUAUUAUUGUUAUAAUUCUACUGCUGAAUCCAGGCUUUACCAGUAUGUUGGAUGUUUAUGACCAGGAAGUCAUCAUUAGCGUACUCGGCAGGUAUAACAUAUUUCAAAAAUCAGUUGGCUCCUCGCAAACAACCUGAAAUUAUACUUAUAGAUUUUGAGAGUUCUUUAGAAAUUGCUACUCGCUUAGCAUUCCCAUUAGCAAAAAUUGUCGGCUGUAACUUUCAUUAUUGUCAAUGAAAGCGCUAGGGGUGCUUUACUGACGGUUCUUCCUCGUUGGAAUUCAUCCUAAAAUAUGGAAAUUUACAGUGUCACGGUCGGAGUGAGUGAAGGCGACGGGCGAAAGGGUUAUUUUAUUUAUUAUUUAAUAUCGGAAUACCGAAUUACCUCGUUCUAUAACUCAGCCAAGGAGUUCGAUUGAACCGUCACGUGAUCAUUAUGCAGAGCAACAUUGACGUUGAGUACGUCACGAUGCAAAAAAAUAUCUUCAAGUAGAUGAAUUUCGUGAUGACCAUAAUCAUCUACCAAUGAUUCUAGGGAGAAGGAGAUCGGAAAAACAGCGACCUAAAUCGUUGGAGGAAGCGAAAAAAUUAUGAAAAAAAAUUAAUCCGGAAAAUCCAACGAUAGUGGUAAUAUCUGAAGAUCACCUGAUGAAACCUGUAAUUAAACUCCGCAGAAUUGAUGAGAUGGAAUCGAUAGAAAAAAGAGAAUUUGUUUCAUUUUUAGAAACUUUAAAAGGAAACAUCGAUAUCGAGAGUAUACUUGCAAACACUAAAAAAAUAAAUCUAAUGCAAUUAAGAGUAAUAAAUUAAAGUCAUGUUAGCAAGUAUCUCCGGAUCGAUAUGGAAAAACAUCGCGACCAUUUUGAACAACCUACAUUGAAAUAUUUAAAUAUAUUACUUAAGGGAUCAAAAUAAUAAAUUAAAAAACGUUACAACUCUACUACUGAUUACGUUUUUUAUCCUAAUAUCUCGAACACAAUAAUUAUUAUAAUUGCCAACGUCUAAACCGUGCCAAGGCACGAGCCAGUUGCUAGUACAUUGAUGCCUUCUAAAUGUAUCAUAGAUAAUUAAUUAUUUAAAUUUAAUGAUUUUAUUUCUGCUAGCGUCUAAACCGUGCCAAGGCACGAGCCAGUUGUUAGUACAUUAAGGCCUUCUGAAUGUCGAGACAAAUCGCCUUUCUCUUUGCGAUUCUCACCAGCAGCCACCAGGAUUCGCGGGUUGAACCCUGGCUUAGGCUGGCCUCUACGAAAUUUUUAUUUUUGCUGGGACAGAGCAAUGGGCUAGGGUUCUUGCAAAGCAAGAACCCGCACUUGUCCAAACUCGGCAACGUAUGUAGAAAAACUUAUCAACUUACCUCACGGCUUAUUAUAAAUUUUAGAUUAUUCUUAUAGAUUUCUAAUUUAUGACUUAACUAAUAAUACUGUUGGUUUAUUUAACACUCUUACCAGUAUUUUAGGAUAUAGAUAGGAUAAAAGACGAGAUUUAAUGUAAAGGCUUUAUACUGAAAAUUAUGCAAGUUUAUUGCCAAUUAUAAUAAGUUUCAACCCGGGAAAAAAUGAUUUUGCCUAAUUAUAUAUAAUUAUAUAUAAGACCUUAUAUAUAAUUAGAUCUAAAAAUUGGCCAGGUCUAAUUAUAUAUAAUUUAUAUAUAAUUAUAUAUAGGUUAUAUAUGAUUAUAUAUAAUACGUUAUAUAUAAUUAGAUCUGAAAAUUGGCCAGGUCUAAUUAUAUAUAAUCAUAUAUAAGUUAUAUAUACUCAUAUAUAAUUAGAUAUGAUUAUGUAUAAUACAUAUAUAUCAUAUUUUAUAUAUAAUUAGAUCCGAAAAUUAGGCGGGUUUCAUCAUAUAUAUGAUUAUGUGUAAUUUAUAUACAAUUACGUAUGUUCAUGUACGAUUAAUAUUGAAGUAUUCAGAGGGAAGUUUUUUUUUUAAUUAUACGUUUAAUUAUACAUAAGUUUAUUACUUUUUUAACAGACUGAAAAAUAUAAUGUA